AACGAACGCUGGCGGCAGGCUUAACACAUGCAAGUCGAACGGGUGUAGCAAUACAUCAGUGGCAGACGGGUGAGUAACGCGUGGGAACCUUCCUAGGGGUACGGAACAACUCAGGGAAACUUGAGCUAAUACCGUAUACGUCCGUGAGGAGAAAGAUUUAUCGCCCUUAGACGGGCCCGCGUCGGAUUAGCUAGUUGGUGGGGUAACGGCCUACCAAGGCGACGAUCCGUAGCUGAUCUUAGAGGAUGAUCAGCCACACUGGGACUGAGACACGGCCCAGACUCCUACGGGAGGCAGCAGUGGGGAAUCUUGGACAAUGGGCGCAAGCCUGAUCCAGCCAUGCCGCGUGGGUGAAGAAGGUCUUCGGAUUGUAAAGCUCUUUUGCCAGGGACGAUAAUGACGGUACCUGGAGAAUAAGCCCCGGCAAACUUCGUGCCAGCAGCCGCCGUAA
This 451-nucleotide ribosomal RNA is filed under the name uncultured bacterium. RNAcentral describes it as "partial 16S ribosomal RNA". It matches the Rfam family "Bacterial small subunit ribosomal RNA", at positions 29 to 523 of the family's 1533-position model. The record is from RNAcentral.